Molecule: ribosomal RNA, 497 nt
Filed under: uncultured bacterium
Lineage: Bacteria
Description: partial 16S ribosomal RNA
Rfam family: Bacterial small subunit ribosomal RNA
Source: RNAcentral
GUUGAACGCUGGCGGCGUGCCUAAUACAUGCAAGUCGAGCGAACAGACGAGGAGCUUGCUCCUCUGACGUUAGCGGCGGACGGGUGAGUAACACGUGGAUAACCUACCUAUAAGACUGGGAUAACUUCGGGAAACCGGAGCUAAUACCGGAUAAUAUAUUGAACCGCAUGGUUCAAUAGUGAAAGACGGUUUUGCUGUCACUUAUAGAUGGAUCCGCGCCGCAUUAGCUAGUUGGUAAGGUAACGGCUUACCAAGGCAACGAUGCAUAGCCGACCUGAGAGGGUGAUCGGCCACACUGGAACUGAGACACGGUCCAGACUCCUACGGGAGGCAGCAGUAGGGAAUCUUCCGCAAUGGGCGAAAGCCUGACGGAGCAACGCCGCGUGAGUGAUGAAGGUCUUCGGAUCGUAAAACUCUGUUAUUAGGGAAGAACAUAUGUGUAAGUAACUGUGCACAUCUUGACGGUACCUAAUCAGAAAGCCACGGCUAACUACGUG